GAUGGACGCUGGCGGCGUGCCUAAUACAUGCAAGUCGAGCGAACAGACGAGGAGCUUGCUCCUCUGACGUUAGCGGCGGACGGGUGAGUAACACGUGGAUAACCUACCUAUAAGACUGGGAUAACUUCGGGAAACCGGAGCUAAUACCGGAUAAUAUAUUGAACCGCAUGGUUCAAUAGUGAAAGACGGUUUUGCUGUCACUUAUAGAUGGAUCCGCGCCGCAUUAGCUAGUUGGUAAGGUAACGGCUUACCAAGGCAACGAUGCGUAGCCGACCUGAGAGGGUGGUGGGCCACACUGGAGCGGGACCGGGCACAGGCCGCCUGCGGGAGGGACCAGAAGGGUAUGUGCGGCAAGGGGGGAGAGCAUGACAGAGCAGGGCGGAGUGAGAUAUAGAGACUUCGGGAGCGUAAAGCCGUUUUUUGGGGGAAAAAAAGAUUUGGAAUGUAAUGAGCCGUUAUUGACGGUACCUAAUAAAAAAGCACCGGCUAACUACGUG
This 497-nucleotide ribosomal RNA is filed under the name uncultured bacterium. RNAcentral describes it as "partial 16S ribosomal RNA". It matches the Rfam family "Bacterial small subunit ribosomal RNA", at positions 28 to 507 of the family's 1533-position model. The record is from RNAcentral.